GGAGGAGAGAUGCUGCCGGCACCACUGCCUGUAGAGUCUGAUAGACGCUGUGGCAGAUGGCAGCAGCAGUAGCACACAGCAGCAGAGUCUCAGUGCAGGGAGAGCGCCUCUCUGAAGCCGGCGCCUCCCUGCUUUGCAGGCUCUGCUGAAUGGGCUGCGCCGGCUCUGCAACCAAGUGGGAAUAGUAUACCGUGCGAUUGUCAGGAUUCCGGGUGUGAGGACUUCACCAGGUGUCGGGAUUCCGGCGUUGGUCUCAUGAAGGCCGGGAUGCCCAUAGAUGGUAUAUUGACUGCAUCCCCUGAUAACAACAUGGUAACAGCUUUUCAUGGCAUCUUCCAGACCAUGUGAUUUCCUACAUGAAAAGUGAAUACUGACUAAAGACUGACCAGGGAGGAUACGUAUCUUCAGAGGUUCCCCAUUCCUCAGAGAAACCACCAUAAAGGUACCUAUGACUGAGAUGGAUUUUGCCAUCGGAGGCCGGCCCCCGCAUUCAGAUGUGCCCCGAUGAAGGAUACUACCUGCGAUAGACGACGUUUGUCUUCAUCGUAAAGUUUGUUCAUUGGGCUCUUCACCAGUUUUAGUCAUUGGUUUAAUUUAACUCUCCCAGAUCAAGAGAUAUGACAAACAAAUAC
Long non-coding RNA from Pseudophryne corroboree (corroboree frog), 632 nucleotides. RefSeq lists it as uncharacterized. The record is from RefSeq and is a predicted model, not a curated record. Lineage: Eukaryota; Metazoa; Chordata; Amphibia; Anura; Myobatrachidae. The transcript has 4 exons.